Long non-coding RNA from Tympanuchus pallidicinctus (lesser prairie-chicken), 272 nucleotides. RefSeq lists it as uncharacterized. NCBI's taxonomy places the organism in Eukaryota, Metazoa, Chordata, Aves, Galliformes, Phasianidae. The transcript is spliced from 3 exons. The record is from RefSeq and is a predicted model, not a curated record.
AGUAUUUCUGCUACAGAUGCAAAUACUGAAUACAUAACAAUAAUAAUUUACCUAAAAUAAGGUUUUAUAGGCUAUGUUACAAGAUUUGAAGAGUGGAGAGCAAAUUUCCUCUGGCACCUAAUGACCCGCUGGUUGAAGGAAGUGAAGGCAGCAUCACCUACACCUGUGGGAGAGGAUGAACACGGUUUAACCAUAGUAUAAAACUGGCAGUGUGCUAGUGUUUCUCCAGGAAAGCCUGAGGACUAUGCAGCAGUUACGUGUGCUGAGCUCUC